This 482-nucleotide ribosomal RNA is filed under the name uncultured bacterium. RNAcentral's name for it is "partial 16S ribosomal RNA". It matches the Rfam family "Bacterial small subunit ribosomal RNA", at positions 29 to 507 of the family's 1533-position model. The record is from RNAcentral.
AUUGAACGCUGGCGGCAUGCUUUACACAUGCAAGUCGAACGGUAACAGGCCGCAAGGUGCUGACGAGUGGCGAACGGGUGAGUAAUGCAUCGGAACGUGCCCAGUCGUGGGGGAUAACUACUCGAAAGAGUAGCUAAUACCGCAUACGAUCUAUGGAUGAAAGCGGGGGACCGGAAGGCCUCGCGCGAUUGGAGCGGCCGAUGUCAGAUUAGGGAGGUGGUGGGGUAAAGGCCCACCAAGCCAACGAUCUGGAGCUGGGCUGAGAGGACGACCAGCCACACUGGGACCUGGACCCGGCCCCGACUUCCACGGGAGGCCGCAGUGGGGAAUUUUGGACCAUGGGCGCAAGCCUGAUCCCGCCAUGCCGCCUGCCGGAAGAAGGCCUUCGGGUUGUAAACUUCUUUUGUUAGGGACCAAACGGCUCUGGUUAAUACCCCGGGCUAAUGACGGUACCGGAAGAAUAAGCCCCGGCUAACUACGUG